RNAcentral lists this ribosomal RNA (1337 nucleotides) under uncultured prokaryote. RNAcentral describes it as "partial 16S ribosomal RNA". It matches the Rfam family "Bacterial small subunit ribosomal RNA", at positions 53 to 1423 of the family's 1533-position model. The record is from RNAcentral.
GCAUGCAAGUCGAACGAAAGCCCUUCGGGGUGAAAGUGGCGAAAGGGCGAGGAACGCGAUCGAACGUACCCCGAGGUGGGGGAUAGCGUCUGGAAACGGGCGGUAAUACCCCAUGUGCUCGCAAGAGGAAAGCUCCGGCGCCUCGGGAGCGGCGAUCGUCCUAUCAGGUUGUUGGUGAGGUAAAGGCCUACCAAGCCUAAGACGGGUAGCGGGUGUGAGAGCAUGACCCGCCGCAUCGGGACUGAGACACUGCCCGGACUCCUACGGGAGGCUGCAGUAACGAAUAUUCCGCAAUGGGCGAAAGCCUGACGGAGCAAUGCCGCGUGUAGGAUGAAGCGCCUUCGGUGUGUAAACUACUGUCAGAAUCUCGGAACACUGACCAGAUUCAAAGGAAGGACCGGCUAAUUCCGUGCCAGCAGCCGCGGUAAUACGGAAGGUCCAAGCGUUAAUCGGAAUUACUGGGCUUAAAGCGUGCGCAGGCGGACUAGUAAGCGUCUUGUGAAAUCCCUCGGCUCAACCGGGGAACUGCAGGGCGAACUACUAGUCUUGAGUCAGGUAGGGGCCGACAGAACUAUCGGUGGAGCGGUGAAAUGCGUAGAUAUCGAUGGGAAUGCCAGUGGCGAAGGCGGUCGGCUGGGCCUGUACUGACGCUCAUGCACGAAAGCGUGGGGAGCGAACGGGAUUAGAUACCCCGGUAGUCCACGCCGUAAACGAUGCGCACUAGAUCGCGGUGGCUCUCACGCCUUCGCGGUCGAAGUAAAAACGAUAAGUGCGCCGCCUGGGGAGUACGGUCGCAAGGCUAAAACUCAAAGGAAUUGACGGGGGCUCACACAAGCGGUGGAGCAUGUGGCUUAAUUCGAAGCAACGCGAAGAACCUUAUCCUGGGCUUGACAUGUACGGAUUAGUCUAUCGAAACUCGAGCCACGACCUCGGGUGGAACAUGCACAGGUGCUGCAUGGCCGUCGUCAGCUCGUGCUGUGAAGUGUCGGGUUAAGUCCCUUAACGAGCGCAACCCCUGUCGUUAGUUGCUAACAAGUUAUGUUGAGUACUCUAGCGAGACUGCCGGUGUCAAACCGGAGGAAGGUGGGGAUGACGUCAGGUCCUCAUGGCCCUUAUGCCUAGGGCUGCAAACGUGCUACAAUGGCACGGACAGAGCGAGGCGAUCCCGCGAGGGGGAGCAAAUCGCAAAAACCGUGCCCCAGUUCGGAUAGCAGGCUGCAAUUCGCCUGCUUGAAGUUGGAAUCGCUAGUAAUCGCGGAUCAGCUACGCCGCGGUGAAUGUGUUGCCUGACGCCUUGUCCUCUCCGCCCGUCAAGUCAUGGAAGCCGGGAGUGCCCG